UGGAUAUCCUUAUUUUUUUUUUUUUUUAAUUUCCUUUCUUGUUUUAAUUUUGGUUUGGUUGCUGAAAUGAAAUAGUUUUCUAACCCCUCCCCCACCCUGGUUUUUCAUAAUCACUCGGAUUUCCAGCUGGAUAGUCUUUGAGGAUACAGGUGGAUGCUGUGGGGGGGUCCAGGCAGCUCUGUGGAACGGUCUCCAAUGGGCUAGUAGGAUGAGAAGGUCCAGGGGUAGUUUGGGAAACAAGGAGAAACAUCACCUCCCGAGACGGUAAACCUACUGAAAAGGUUUAAGAUUAACUUGUGAAGACUGAUCUUUUGGAUACAUCAGGUAUGCCAUACUACAUCUGAUACUAGGCAAGGAAGUAUGGGGGGAAGAGUACCUGAAAGGCUGAUUUGUUUGGAUAAAUGCUAGUUUCAUUUCCAGCAAAAAUAGAGUUCUACCCUAUGAAGUGAGUAUGAAUUUUUUUUCCCCAUACCGACAUUUUAGUGAUACUGUAAAGUGUAUCAACGUUGCACUUUUAAAUGCAUUUUGGACAAGAAACUACAGGUGUUAAACUACAGAACAAUUUUUGAAGUUCAUUCUCUUGGCAAAGACUUUUUGCAUUUCCCAAUUUUGCAGCCAGCUGCUUUAAGUAAAAGAAAAAUAGUAGCUCAUACUUGUGAGUAAGAAAGGAAUCAGCAUCAAAGAUUAUGGGUACUUUUUUUCUAAUACAGUCUUGAUUAUUUUAUACUUUUUUUUUUUUCUCCUACCUUAACUGAAGUGCUGGGAGGCCUCACUAAGAUCAAACACUCAAAAUAAUGAAAGGCUGUUAUCUUCACCAAUUGUUAACUCUUGUUUAAGGUAAAUCUGUAGCUUUAAACAGGAAGGUGAUAUUGCUGCACAUUGCAUAAGAGAAUGUGAUAUUGUUAAGGGGCUUGACAAUUGCCUGAAGGGCUAACUGGGAAACAGCAGUCAUAGAAACAUUCCAACUUUUCUUCUGAAGUCCUCUUAAUCACUUCACUGGUCAAUGGCGCAUGAAUUAUCCUUGAGUGAGGUGACUGGGCAAAUAGGGGAGAUGAAGUGAUUAGUUUAGUUUCUGCAGUUCAAAACAGCUGAUUAUUUAGUACCAGUUCAUGAAAGUAUAUCUAAGGUGGAUUUAAUAUUAUUGUGAAAACAGCAUUGUUUACACUAAAAAAGAAAGCUUGAACUUGGGAAUUGUGA
RNAcentral lists this long non-coding RNA (1197 nucleotides) under Lonchura striata (white-rumped munia). Its description in RNAcentral is "domestica (Bengalese finch) lncRNA (ENSLSDG00000009764.1)". The record is from RNAcentral. Lineage: Eukaryota; Metazoa; Chordata; Aves; Passeriformes; Estrildidae.